RNAcentral lists this long non-coding RNA (1946 nucleotides) under Nicotiana tabacum (common tobacco). RNAcentral's name for it is "long non-coding RNA (NTAB_LNC011197)". The record is from RNAcentral. Lineage: Eukaryota; Viridiplantae; Streptophyta; Magnoliopsida; Solanales; Solanaceae.
GAACGAAAAAGCUGUGCAUAAUAACGAAGAAGGAGGACGGACAAAAAAAAUACACAAGAAAGAUGCGCAAAAAUAGACCCCCCCCUUGCGCGUCAUCUUCUCCGACGACCCCGGCGCAGCAAAGAGACCCCCCUUCCUAUCGUCUUCAACCCGACGUCCACACCCCUCAUCGUCGAACCUCUCACACCGCUAGCCUUACCUGUCGGCUGCAACUCCAUCCCAAACGAUAACUUCGUCAGCCAUAGCUUCUUCCUCUUCUAACCUUGAACGCCACUAAGCGGAUCCCCACUAUUACACUCGCCCAGAAGUCAGUCGAUCUGCACGGUCACACACUGCCUGACCGUCGUCCACCAUGAGGCUGCCAUUUUCGGCGAGCCUCAUCUUCACACACACACAUGCACCACGACGCACACAGCUAUACACACAUAAAAAAAAAAGAUGCGCAACAACGUUACAACAAAAAUGCAGCUCAUCAUCUCCAUUUUUCUGCCAUCCAAAACAGCCCUGAGAUCUACAUAAGCCGAUAGUUUCCAGUUAGUAGUCGGUUGUUUCUUUGGGUCGUGCUUCCGCUCGAGGUCGCCGGGGUCAGGUCCGUCGAGGUGUUCGUUGAUACGCUGUCCGAGAUCUCGUUUGUUUUGAUUUUCCGACGAGCUGUUCCCGGACCGAUGUCUCUUAUUAGCGGAUCUGUUCGCUGUUAGUUUCGUCAGCAUGCUUUUCUUGGUACACUUUGAAAGUUAAUAAAAUGGGUACGUUUAUAUUAUCCUCUUCUUUUUAACCCUGUUUGUUUACUGGAUUGGAGUUUUGCUAAGUGGAAAGGUGCAGAUAUUUUGAUUUUCAAUAGUGGUCACUAGUGGAUGAAAUUGGUCUAAGUUUAUUAAAGAUGAUAAAUUUCUAAUUUUGUUCCAGGGUCAAAUGCAUGUGAAUUUUAUCACUAAUGGAUGAAAUUUGAAGGUUUUGAUUGUGAAAGUAUUUUUGUUGAAAUGUAUAGUUUGAUAUCUGGACUUGAAUAAUUUGUUUGGUUUCAUUUUUGUUGAAACGUCGAGUCCCUGCUCAUUGUUAAUUGAAAAGCAUGACAUCCUUUUAGUUUCAUUGUCAUUCACUAUUGCCUUCAUUUUUUUUUCUUUUUGUUUCAUUGUUGUUUUGUUUUCCCCUUUAUAAUUAGCCUUUCAUAUAGUUAAAUAUGAUUUAAAUCAUUAAAAUAUGUCGUUGAAUCUUAUGAAUGAGUUGUUACGAGCAGUGAUUUUUUACUUAAUUGCUAUACUAGCCUACUAAUGAAGAACUCAAUAAUUUGGCCUAUACUUUAGGCGCGUUGUUUAAAUAAUAUUACCUUCCUAAACUCGGGUGCGCAUUUAUGUGACCCAAAUCUAAAUCUCAACAAUGUUAAAAUAUGUCAAAGACCGCGGGUGCAUUUAUGUGACGUGGUUCAAGACGUGUUUUAAUAGCGUUGCAAUCUUCCUGAAAAUAAUUAAAUAAAAGCGGUUAUAAAGUUAAAAUCGAACCAUAGGCUAAAACAUGUAUUAAAAUCAGACAAUAAGCCAAUUAUAGUAGUUGAGCGACCGUGCUAGAACCACGGAAUCCGGGAAUGCCUAACACCUUCUCCCGGGUUAACAAAAUUCCUUACCCGGAUUUUUGUGUUCGCAGACUGUUAAACAGAGUCAUAUUCUCCUCGAUUCGGGAUUCAACCGGUGACUUGGGACACCACAAAUCUCCCAAGUGGCGACUCUGAAUUUCCUAGUAUAAAUCCCGUUUCAAUUGUCCUUUAAUUGGAAAAACUCUUUAUACUAUACCUUUUUCCGGGGUGUAAGUGAAAAAGGAGGUGUGACAGCUCUGGCGACUCUGCUGGGGAGAUCGAACCCAGAAUCUCUGGUUCAAAGUUCAAGAAUUCGAGCUUUAGAUGAAUUGUUGUAUUUGGCUUUAUUUAUUAUCUGAUUUUAUUCACAUGUUUG